AUGGUAGGCAGUUUGACUGGGGCGGUCUCCUCCCAAAGCGUAACGGAGGAGUUCGAAGGUACGCUAGUUACGGUCGGACAUCGUGACGAUAGUGCAAUGGCAUAAGCGUGCUUAACUGCGAGACUGACAAGUCGAGCAGAUGCGAAAGCAGGACAUAGUGAUCCGGUGGUUCUGUAUGGAAGGGCCAUCGCUCAACGGAUAAAAGGUACUCUGGGGAUAACAGGCUGAUA
Molecule: ribosomal RNA, 230 nt
Filed under: Klebsiella variicola
Lineage: Bacteria; Pseudomonadati; Pseudomonadota; Gammaproteobacteria; Enterobacterales; Enterobacteriaceae
Description: partial 23S ribosomal RNA
Rfam family: Bacterial large subunit ribosomal RNA
Source: RNAcentral